This 1338-nucleotide ribosomal RNA is filed under the name uncultured bacterium. RNAcentral describes it as "16S ribosomal RNA". It matches the Rfam family "Bacterial small subunit ribosomal RNA", at positions 28 to 1378 of the family's 1533-position model. The record is from RNAcentral.
GACGAACGCUGGCUGCGUGCUUAACACAUGCAAGUCGAACGGUAAGGCUCCAGCUUGCUGGGGUACACGAGUGGCGAACGGGUGAGUAACACGUGGGUGACCUGCCCUGCACUUCGGGAUAAGCCUGGGAAACUGGGUCUAAUACCGGAUAGGACCGCACCGUGAGGGUGUGGUGGAAAGUUUUUUCGGUGUGGGAUGGGCCCGCGGCCUAUCAGCUUGUUGGUGGGGUAAUGGCCUACCAAGGCGGCGACGGGUAGCCGGCCUGAGAGGGUGGACGGCCACAUUGGGACUGAGACACGGCCCAGACUCCUACGGGAGGCAGCAGUGGGGAAUAUUGCACAAUGGGCGGAAGCCUGAUGCAGCGACGCCGCGUGGGGGAUGACGGCCUUCGGGUUGUAAACUCCUUUCACCAUCGACGAAGGGUUUCUGACGGUAGGUGGAGAAGAAGCACCGGCUAACUACGUGCCAGCAGCCGCGGUAAUACGUAGGGUGCGAGCGUUGUCCGGAAUUACUGGGCGUAAAGAGCUCGUAGGUGGUUUGUCGCGUCGUCUGUGAAAUUCCGGGGCUUAACUCCGGGCGUGCAGGCGAUACGGGCAUAACUUGAGUACUGUAGGGGAGACUGGAAUUCCUGGUGUAGCGGUGAAAUGCGCAGAUAUCAGGAGGAACACCGGUGGCGAAGGCGGGUCUCUGGGCAGUAACUGACGCUGAGGAGCGAAAGCAUGUGGAGCGAACAGGAUUAGAUACCCUGGUAGUCCAUGCCGUAAACGGUGGGCGCUAGGUGUGGGUUUCCUUCCACGGGAUCCGUGCCGUAGCUAACGCAUUAAGCGCCCCGCCUGGGGAGUACGGCCGCAAGGCUAAAACUCAAAGGAAUUGACGGGGGCCCGCACAAGCGGCGGAGCAUGUGGAUUAAUUCGAUGCAACGCGAAGAACCUUACCUGGGCUUGACAUAUACAGGAUCGCGCCAGAGAUGGUGUUUCCCUUGUGGCUUGUAUACAGGUGGUGCAUGGUUGUCGUCAGCUCGUGUCGUGAGAUGUUGGGUUAAGUCCCGCAACGAGCGCAACCCUUGUCUUAUGUUGCCAGCACGUUGUGGUGGGGACUCGUAAGAAACUGCCGGGGUUAACUCGGAGGAAGGUGGGGAUGACGUCAAAUCAUCAUGCCCCUUAUGUCCAGGGCUUCACACAUGCUACAAUGGUCGGUACAGUGGGUUGCCAGUCCGUGAGGGCGAGCUAAUCCCGCAAAGCCGGUCUCAGUUCGGAUCGGGGUCUGCAACUCGACCCCGUGAAGUCGGAGUCGCUAGUAAUCGCAGAUCAGCAACGCUGCGGUGAAUACGUUUCCGGG